Molecule: ribosomal RNA, 460 nt
Filed under: uncultured bacterium
Lineage: Bacteria
Description: partial 16S ribosomal RNA
Rfam family: Bacterial small subunit ribosomal RNA
Source: RNAcentral
CCUACGGGAGGCAGCAGUGAGGAAUAUUGGUCAAUGGACGAGAGUCUGAACCAGCCAAGUAGCGUGAAGGAUGACUGCCCUAUGGGUUGUAAACUUCUUUUAUAUGGGAAUAAAACGUUCCACGUGUGGGAUUUUGUAUAUACCAUAUGAAUAAGGAUCGGCUAACUCCGUGCCAGCAGCCGCGGUAAUACGGAGGAUCCGAGCGUUAUCCGGAUUUAUUGGGUUUAAAGGGAGCGUAGGUGGAUUGUUAAGUCAGUUGUGAAAGUUUGCGGCUCAACCGUAAAAUUGCAGUUGAAACUGGCAGUCUUGAGUACAGUAGAGGUGGGCGGAAUUCGUGGUGUAGCGGUGAAAUGCUUAGAUAGCACGAAGAACUCCGAUUGCGAAGGCAGUUCACUGGACUGCAACUGACACUGAGGCUCGAAAGUGUGGGUAUCAAACAGGAUUAGAUACCCCUGUAGUC